CUGAAACAUCUAAGUACCCCGAGGAAAAGAAAUCAACCGAGAUUCCCCCAGUAGCGGCGAGCGAACGGGGAGCAGCCCAGAGUCUGAAUCAGCUUGUGUGUUAGUGGAACGGUCUGGAAAGUCCGACGGUACAGGGUGAUAGUCCCGUACACCAAAAUGCACAGGUUGUGAACUCGAAGAGUAGGGCGGGACACGUGGUAUCCUGUCUGAAUAUGGGGGGACCAUCCUCCAAGGCUAAAUACUCCUGACUGACCGAUAGUGAACCAGUACCGUGAGGGAAAGGCGAAAAGAACCCCGGCGAGGGGAGUGAAAAAGAACCUGAAACCGUGUACGUACAAGCAGUGGGAGCCUCUUUAUGGGGUGACUGCGUACCUUUUGUAUAAUGGGUCAGCGACUUAUAUUCUGUAGCAAGGUUAACCGUAUAGGGGAGCCGAAGGGAAACCGAGUCUUAACUGGGCGUUAAGUUGCAGGGUAUAGACCCGAAACCCGGUGAUCUAGCCAUGGGCAGGUUGAAGGUUGGGUAACACUAACUGGAGGACCGAACCGACUAAUGUUGAAAAAUUAGCGGAUGACUUGUGGCUGGGGGUGAAAGGCCAAUCAAACCGGGAGAUAGCUGGUUCUCCCCGAAAGCUAUUUAGGUAGCGCCUCGUGAAUUCAUCUUCGGGGGUAGAGCACUGUUUCGGCUAGGGGGUCAUCCCGACUUACCAACCCGAUGCAAACUGCGAAUACCGAAGAAUGUUAUCACGGGAGACACACGGCGGGUGCUAACGUCCGUCGUGAAGAGGGAAACAACCCAGACCGCCAGCUAAGGUCCCAAAGUCAUGGUUAAGUGGGAAACGAUGUGGGAAGGCACAGACAGCCAGGAUGUUGGCUUAGAAGCAGCCAUCAUUUAAAGAAAGCGUAAUAGCUCACUGGUCGAGUCGGCCUGCGCGGAAGAUGUAACGGGGCUAAACCAUGCACCGAAGCUGCGGCAGCGACACUAUGUGUUGUUGGGUAGGGGAGCGUUCUGUAAGCCGUUGAAGGUGGCCUGUGAGGGUUGCUGGAGGUAUCAGAAGUGCGAAUGCUGACAUAAGUAACGAUAAUGCGGGUGAAAAACCCGCACGCCGGAAGACCAAGGGUUCCUGUCCAACGUUAAUCGGGGCAGGGUGAGUCGACCCCUAAGGCGAGGCCGAAAGGCGUAGUCGAUGGGAAACAGGUUAAUAUUCCUGUACUUGGUGUUACUGCGAAGGGGGGACGGAGAAGGCUAUGUUAGCCGGGCGACGGUUGUCCCGGUUUAAGCAUGUAGGCGGAGGUUCCAGGUAAAUCCGGUACCUUUUUAACGCUGAGGUGUGAUGACGAGGCACUACGGUGCUGAAGUAACAAAUGCCCUGCUUCCAGGAAAAGCCUCUAAGCAUCAGGUAACACGAAAUCGUACCCCAAACCGACACAGGUGGUCAGGUAGAGAAUACCAAGGCGCUUGAGAGAACUCGGGUGAAGGAACUAGGCAAAAUGGUGCCGUAACUUCGGGAGAAGGCACGCUGAUAUGUAGGUGAAGUGAUUUACUCAUGGAGCUGAAAUCAGUCGAAGAUACCAGCUGGCUGCAACUGUUUAUUAAAAACACAGCACUGUGCAAACACGAAAGUGGACGUAUACGGUGUGACGCCUGCCCGGUGCCGGAAGGUUAAUUGAUGGGGUUAUCCGUAAGGAGAAGCUCUUGAUCGAAGCCCCGGUAAACGGCGGCCGUAACUAUAACGGUCCUAAGGUAGCGAAAUUCCUUGUCGGGUAAGUUCCGACCUGCACGAAUGGCGUAAUGAUGGCCAGGCUGUCUCCACCCGAGACUCAGUGAAAUUGAACUCGCUGUGAAGAUGCAGUGUACCCGCGGCAAGACGGAAAGACCCCGUGAACCUUUACUAUAGCUUGACACUGAACACUGGUCCUUGAUGUGUAGGAUAGGUGGGAGGCUUUGAAGUGUGGACGCCAGUCUGCAUGGAGCCAUCCUUGAAAUACCACCCUUUAAUGGCUGGUGUUCUAACGUGGACCCGUGAUCCGGGUUGCGGACAGUGUCUGGUGGGUAGUUUGACUGGGGCGGUCUCCUCCUAAAGAGUAACGGAGGAGCACGAAGGUUAGCUAAUCCUGGUCGGACAUCAGGAGGUUAGUGCAAAGGCAUAAGCUAGCUUGACUGCGAGAGUGACGGCUCGAGCAGGUGCGAAAGCAGGUCUUAGUGAUCCGGUGGUUCUGAAUGGAAGGGCCAUCGCUCAACGGAUAAAAGGUACUCCGGGGAUAACAGGCUGAUACCGCCCAAGAGUUCAUAUCGACGGCGGUGUUUGGCACCUCGAUGUCGGCUCAUCACAUCCUGGGGCUGAAGUAGGUCCCAAGGGUAUGGCUGUUCGCCAUUUAAAGUGGUACGCGAGCUGGGUUUAGAACGUCGUGAGACAGUUCGGUCCCUAUCUGCCGUGGGCGCUGGAGAAUUGAGGGGGGCUGCUCCUAGUACGAGAGGACCGGAGUGGACGCAUCACUGGUGUUCGGGUUGUCAUGCCAAUGGCAUUGCCCGGUAGCUAAAUGCGGAAGAGAUAAGUGCUGAAAGCAUCUAAGCACGAAACUUGCCCCGAGAUGAGUUCUCCCUGAGACUAUAAGUCUCCUGAAGGAACGUUAAAGACGAUGACGUUGAUAGGUCGGGUGUGUAAGUGUAGCGAUACAUUGAGCUAACCGAUACUAAUGAACCGUGAGGCUUAACCUU
RNAcentral lists this ribosomal RNA (2716 nucleotides) under Citrobacter freundii. RNAcentral's name for it is "partial 23S ribosomal RNA". It matches the Rfam family "Bacterial large subunit ribosomal RNA". Lineage: Bacteria; Pseudomonadati; Pseudomonadota; Gammaproteobacteria; Enterobacterales; Enterobacteriaceae. The record is from RNAcentral.